CGGGGCGUAGCUCAGCCUGGAUAGAGUACUUGCUUGGGGUGCAAGGGGUCACGAGUUCAAAUCUCGUCGCCCCGA
Molecule: transfer RNA, 75 nt
Filed under: bacterium
Lineage: Bacteria
Also listed under: 1 other name
Description: tRNA-Pro
Rfam family: tRNA
About the family: Transfer RNA (tRNA) molecules are approximately 80 nucleotides in length. Their secondary structure includes four short double-helical elements and three loops (D, anti-codon, and T loops).
Source: RNAcentral